GGGGCUCUUCAGGGACUCUCCCUCUGGACACAUCUUGCAGUCCCCACCGGCAGACGGAAGUUUGGCCAACGGAAGACUGUCCCUGUGCCACUCGAGAGUCACACUCAGCUUCGCCGUAGGUGAUUUGUUCAAGCCCGGAGAGGUCAUCGAUGGCCAAGUUGGUAACAGAACUCAGGAACACCUGGUUCUCAGUCCUGCUCAUGGACAGUACAUCUGUUUCCCACAAGCAGCAGAAGGUGCCAGAGUCAAUGUGAGGCUGAGGGGAGCAGAUACCUUCCAAGAAGCUGCUGCCUUCUCUGAAGCUGACAUAAUGCAAGCAGGACCCAAGAGACCACACAACGACAAAGGCUGUUGCUGGGAAAGGCAGAAAUAAAUGACAGGUCAUGUAGAGUGAGCAGGAGGCAGCAAGAAGAAAGAUUUAAUUUAAGAUGAUCAAAAAAGCCAAUAAUUUUUCAUGGGUUUUAGUUUUAAUUGUGUCGAACACCCUCCUUCCCUCCCCACCACCACCACUCUUGUAAAUAUUUUUCAUUUUUCAACAAAAAACCUAAAUCCAAGACUCCAGGUUUGUUUGUUUUCACAAGCCAGUUUGGGGAAUAUAUUUAAUUAGUUAGGCAUGACACUUUUUCCAAUAAAUAAAUAAAUAAAUAAAUAAAUUGGGGUGUUUUGAAAUGUUCAAGUUUUUCUGUUGGAAAAACUGGAAAAUUUCAACCAAAUGAAAAUGGUCUUUUUUGGACAAAGAACUGACUGAGCCACAUCACCCCCCUUUUGAAGGGAGAGAGAAAGAAGAGGGACAUAUACCCUGGAGGUUCUCAAUCUAUGGUUUAUGGAGACCUGAGAGGGAGACAAAGUAGUGCUUGGACUAUGCCUGGAAGAUGCACCGAAUAAAACUAUUCCUACUAGCUACUCCAAACAUCAGUGAUCAAACAAAUGGUGAAAGUGUUCUGCAAUAAUCAGUCUUGUGCUGCUGGAAAGAUGAUGAGGAUUUCUACAGAGAGGAGGAAGAAGGCUUGCCAGAUCCUCUGCAAAGCUGAGAAGAAGGGCAUCAAUUUCAUUCCAUGACACGUUUUGGCAGCGAAGAAGUCAGUGCUAAAAAAAACGCUGCUUUAACAAAAAAUUAUCCUGCUCUACCAUCUAUGGGGGCAGGAGGAUUCCAAAAAUAUGUAACAGAUAGGGUGACCAGACAGCAAAUGUGAAAAAUUGGGACGGGGUGGGGGGUAAUAGGCACCUAUAUAAGACAACCCCCCCAAAAUCGGGACUGUCCCUAUAAAAUCAGGACAUCUGGUUACCCUAGUAACAGAUAAAGAAACCCAUCCACUGACUGAAGCCUGCUUUGCUAUUUCUCUGGAGAAAUGCAAAGAUUCUUUCAGACUCUCCUUUGGAACAAGUAUUUCCUGACUCAGACCCUGAUCACUAUAAAUAAAUUUGAACUGAUGACACACAGGCACUAAUCCUUUAUUGCUGAUCUUGCUGUGUCAAUUACAGCCCCUACAGAGUAUUCAGAUCCAUCAGUAUGGCACCUUCCAGAAGCAUGAUACUCAUGUCACAAUUUCAGGGUUAGCUUCACCGCAUGCCCUUCCUUGGCAUCCUUGAUGGCACCCACUUAAGGUUUCAUGCCUCCUAGCUAUCGCCUCUCUUGGGAAGAAACUCACAUCUCUCUCCCUCCAGAGCAGCAGUUUAGGAUUUGAUUCCCUCUGCACCUCACUGUGACUUCCUCAACAGGUCUGACUUGGUGCCGGCACCUGUGGUUUGCGCUUUCUCCAGGGGCUAAAACAGUGUAUAACAGUUAUCAACCAGCCUCCGAAAACCAAAGUACAUUCAUUCUUAGGGCAAAAGCAUCACACAGAAAACAUACACAAGACAAUAAAUGGUCCUAUAUGCAUAUUAAGGUAACCCCAACUCGAAAUAGGGUUCUGGUAGAUGUCAGUCUUACAAACUCCUCAACUGGGUUUGCUCUCUUAGUUAGGCUACGUCUUCACUACCCGCCUGAAUCGGCGGGUAGAAAUGGAUCUCUCGUGGAUCGAGUUAUCGCGUCUCGUUGGGACGCGACAAUCGAUCCCUGAAUCGAUGCUUGUACUCCACCAGCACAGGUAGGAGUA
Molecule: long non-coding RNA, 2096 nt
Organism: Chrysemys picta bellii (western painted turtle)
Lineage: Eukaryota; Metazoa; Chordata; Testudines; Emydidae
Source: RefSeq, a predicted model, not a curated record